This 4823-nucleotide long non-coding RNA is filed under the name Homo sapiens (human). RNAcentral describes it as "HSALNT0334842". The record is from RNAcentral. Lineage: Eukaryota; Metazoa; Chordata; Mammalia; Primates; Hominidae.
UCGGCCUCCCAAAGUGCUGGGAUCACAAGCGUGAGCCAUCGCAAAUACAAAUAUUCAUUAAACGUAUAGGCUGUCUACUUACUCUAUGACCUUUCUACCUAGACUAAAGCCAAAAAACUCUGACACCCUAAAAGAUUCAUAAAUUAUUUACUACAUAAGGUUUAGAUGCAUCAUUACCAAUAUUGCACAUAGAAAUUUAAUGUUGUUAGUUGAGCAAACAGAUGCCAUGACUAUUUCUUCUCUUUAUAAAUCUUGGUGGCUUAUGGCAGCAGAAGCCUACUCCACUAUUUAGGCUCCUAUGACAGCUACUUUUCCCCUGUUGAGAAAGUUUCACCUUAAGUUGCUACCAAAAAAAUUAUACAAUUAAUGUAUUUUGUAACUCCUGAAAAUAAUUGUUUAUAUUAUCAUCUCAAGUAAAAUAAAAUAUUUUCAUAGAGAGAUGGAGAGAUGUGUAGGCAAUUUAUCAAAUAUUAACCUCUUCCUAAACAUGGGGUUGAAUUCCUCCCGUAACAUUGUAACGUUGUUAGAAUUAUGUGAAAGGGGGCUUUGUCUCAACUAUCCUGCUAGUCAUUCAUUCAACAGCAAUCUAUUUAUGUUGUAUGUUUCCCUAAAUGUUUCCAUUUUUGCCUCCAAACACUGCUAAUUUGGUUUGGUUGCUAUUUAUUUUAUACUGUCUUAUAAAUCCCCUGGAAAGUGUAUUGCCCCAUGCCUGCACACACUGCAGUACAAGAGUGUACUGAAGUACAUAAUGGAAGGGUUGGUUUUUUCUGCCACUCCAUCGCUUGAGUUUAAAUAAUAAGGAAACACAGAGAUCUAAAACAUUUUGAACAGUUAAGAAUUAUUAAAAGAAAGUAGAAUGACAAACAGGAAAAUUAUCUAUCCACAUCUAUAUAUGUAUAUCUUUCUAGAAAUGUCCUAUAAGGACAAAAGAGGAAAAAAUGAAGGGAAAAUUAUGAACCCUUGAAUAUGAGUCCUUCUGAGCAAAACUCUGUUCUUAGCAUUUCUCCACUAUUAUCAAGUUUCUAGUAUCCUCCAAGAAAAUACCAUAUUAUCAUCCUGGAACUUUGGUAGUAUAUACCUGUCCUUUCUAUCCCUAUCUACAGAGACCUGUCUGAUUUAGAUUCUAAACUGACCUUCCUCAUUUUUUUUUUUUUUGAGACAAUAUUGCUCUGUUGCCUAUGGUGGAGUUUAGUGGUGUAAUCUAGCCUCACUGCAACGUUUGCCUCCAGGAUUCAAGUAAUUCUCAUGCCUCAGCCACCUGAGUAGGUGGAAUUAGAAGUGUUCCUCAUUUUUAAAACUCUAGAACACAGAAAUUUUAUUUGUCUCCCAAAGUCCAAAAAUUUAACAAUAAAAGAAAAAUUAAGAGUCAGCUUUGAUAUCCUGACAUACAGUCUUCUUUGAGAUAUUAAUACCUUUUAUAAUAAAAAUGAAUGGGUAUUUUUAUGACUUUUUAGUAAGAAAAUAGUGAACCAAACCUGCUUGCACACAUUUAUAUUUACAUAAUUCUCAAAGACAAAUAUUUAAUUAUAGAAACGGUAUAUAUACAUAUGUACACACAUACAUACAUUAGUGACUCAUAUUCAAGGACUCAUAUUCUAGGGUUCAUAGUUUUCCCUUCUAUAUAUAUAUAUAUAUACACAUUAUAUAUAUACAUACACAGACACAUGUAUAUACACAUAUAAAAUACUAAAAAAUGUUUAAAAGUUAACUUGUAAAUCUUACAUUCAGAUAUUCUGAUUUACCGUGUCUAUAUCAAGACUCAAUAUGGUUUUGUAAAAGUAAACACUCCAAGUAGUUUCGAUGCAAGUCAUCUAAAUCACUCAUUAAAAAAAUUGUGGCUCAUAAGUGUUCAUUAACAAAUAAAUGGAUAAAGAAAAUAUGGUAUAUAUACCCAAAGGAAUACUACAGCGCCAUAAAAAGAAUCAAAUCAUGUUAUUUGCAGAAACAUGAAUGAAACAAUAGGUCCUUAUGUUAAGUGAAACAAGCCAAGCAUAGAAUGACAAAUAUUGCAUAUUCUCACUCAUUUGUGGGAGCUAAAAAGUCUGAUCUCAGUAAGGUAGAGAGUAGAAUGAUGGUUAACAGAGGCUGGGAAGGAGGCAGGAUGAAGAUAGAUAUUGGUUAAUGGGUGCACAUGUAGAGUUAUAUAGAAGCGAUAAGUUCUAGUGUUCAAUAGCACACAAGAGUGAUUAUACUUAGCAAUAAUUUAUUGCCUAUUUCAAAAUAUUCAGAAGAAAAGACUUAAAAUGUCCCCAACACAUACACACGAAAUAAAUGUUGGAGGUAGUGGAUAUCCUAAUUACCAUGAUUUGGCCAUUAUGCAUUGUAUGCAUGCGUCGAAACAUCACAUGAACCCCAUAAAUAUGUACAAUCAAUAUGUAUCAAUUCACAAAGACGGAAAGAUGGAAAUGUUUUCGUUUAUAAAAACAAGGAUGGAAAAAAACAUCCUUACCUAAAUACUGUCCACAAUGUCACCGGUGCUUUGCAUCAUUCAGGUGAGCGAUGUUAGUCUCCCUUCUACUUAUCCCCGGGGUUUAAUUUGCACCAAGAUUGUUGUCUGCACAAAGAUUCAAUAGUAUACAGAAAAUCUUAUGGUGACCCAGAGAAGAUGUGAAAUGAUUAUAGUUUUAUGCCUUAGAUGAUGUUGCAUUUCUAGCCAUGGCAACACAUCCCCAGAAACUUUUCUGUAAUUAAAAUGGAAAUACUAUAUAAUUUAUCAUUUCAUUAUAAAAGUAGUUACUCUAUAUGUGGAAGGUUUUGGUGGUGUAAUUUCCCCAGAUAUGUAUAUCAAUAUGUGCGAGCAAAUGCUUGUAAGUAAAAACAGAUAAGAUAAUUUUAUAUUCUAUAUGAUGUUAAGAGUGUUAAGCCAGAGCAAAAUUUCAUUUUGAAUAUGGUAACCCUGGAUUUGUUGUUUCAAUCUGGAUUUUAUAUUUUAGAUAGGGUUAAUUAAUCAGAAAAUAGAUCACUCUUACUGCCUCUUCUGAAAUUUUAACAAAUAGUUUUGUUAUCUGUUAAAUAUCAGCAUCUUUAAAGUCUUUGGAGAGACUCUUUUCAGUUUCAGUAAAGCAUUAGUGUUUGUACACUAAUGUAUGUUUGUCAGGUUUAUUUAUUUAUUUAUUGACCUCAGUGCAGGAAAAUUUCACCCCAGGGGGUCUUACAUUAUUUUUCUACUCCAAAAUACAUAGGCUACACAGAACAACAUCAUUAGCAACAUUGUUUCAGCAAGGAAAUAAUCCUUAUUGGCAAAGGGAAACCAAGGAAAGAAAACUAUUGUUUUCUUCGGCUACAUGCUGUCUGCAAAGCACCCCAUGGAUUCAAUUUCUCAUCAAUUCAGAAUGGAAUACUAACGUGCUGCCUAGAGAUACAGAAGUGGGAUGAACGCAGGGCCUUACUCAGCAUUCAGAACAAAACUGAUGGUGCUAGCAUAUAUAAGACUGAAACACCAAAGUCCUCCGUGGAAGUUAAUGAAUUUCUAAUAGUGAAAUAAGGUGGCCAAGGAGGCAGAGAUGGAGUCAGGGACUCUGUGAUCAACCCUGAGGAUUGGGAAGGAACUAUACAUACCAGGAGGCAAGGAGCACUGGGGGCCCUCCUGGAACUGCCUGUCACAGCGUCCUCAAAGGAUGGAACAGAUUAUUUCUACAGAAACCCUAAGUUUUAAAAAGAAAAAAUGCACAACAUUCCCAGAAGACCAGCAGCAGGAGCGACAUUCCACAACCUUGAAUUUAAGGUGCUUCCUGUUUACUUCUCUGUGAAUUAUCAUUGCCACCUCUGUGAAAUCACCUAGCCACAUGAGGUAGCAAAGCUGCCUGCCACCCAACGGGCUGCAGGGAGUUCUUCAAAGAAAGAGGGAGAAAGAGUGAGAAAGAAAGAUUAUGGAAAUUCACUCAUAUGAUUACGGGAGUCAAAAAGUCCCACCAUCUGCCUUCUUCAAGCUGGAGAACCAGGAAAGUCAGUGGUGUAAUUCAGUCCAAGUCCAAAGGCCUGAGAACCACGGGAGCCAAUGGUAUAAGUCCCAGUCUGAAGCCAAAGGCCUGAGAACCACUGGCAGGAGGGCAGAGGAGUCUUGCUGGUAUAAGACCCAUAAUCCAAAGGACUGAGAACCAGGAAGCUUUGAUGUCCAAGAGAAGGAGAAGAUGGAUAUCCUUGCUCAUGCUUCUUCUGCCUUUUAUUCCUAUUUGAGCCCACAACAGAUUGGAUGAUGUCUGCCCACUUUAGUGAGGGAAGAUUUUUUUUACCCGGUCUACUUAUUCAAAUGUUAAUAUCUUCUGGAGAUCCUCAUACAGACACACCCAGAAAUAAUGUUUUACCAGCAAUCUGGGCAUCCUCAGCCCAGUCAGGGUGACACAUAAAAUUAGCCCUUACAACAUUACUGCCAUUUUACAAUACAGUGGCAAUGUAUGAAAACGCUAGGUCCCCUACAUUCUUGGCAAUACUUGGUAUGGUCAGUCUUUUUCGUUUUAAUCAUUCUAAUGGGAAUGCUGUAAUAUCUCAUUGUGGUUUAAUUUGUAUUUUCCUCAUGAUAAUGAUAAAGAAUAUCUUUACAUGUGCUCAUUUGUCAUCAAUAUAUUUUCUUUAGAGAAGUAUCUGUUCAAUUUUUUUGUCCAAUUUUCAAUUGAGUUGUCUUCUUAUUAAGUUGUAAGAGUAGUAUGUCAUUAUACAAAUAUAUCACAUAUGUCACACAAAGGAUAUACAUAUAUAAUAUUGUCAAAUUUGUGUUUUGUGAAUAUUUUCUCCAACUCUGUAGUUUGCCCUUUCAUUUUUUAACAGUCUUUUAAAAAGCAAAUGUUUUAACUUUGAUAAAUUCCAAUUGAUUGAUUUUUCUUCUA